RNAcentral lists this long non-coding RNA (303 nucleotides) under Corvus moneduloides (New Caledonian crow). RNAcentral's name for it is "lncRNA (ENSCMUG00000008451.2)". The record is from RNAcentral. Lineage: Eukaryota; Metazoa; Chordata; Aves; Passeriformes; Corvidae.
CAGCCCUAAUUUGUUGACUUUUGUGUCAAUUGUAGCAGAUAAUUCUUGAUUUUCUUUGUUUCCAGGGGUUUUUUUGCUGUGCUCUCAAAGACUAUGGCUGGCUGGCCUGCAGACUGGGAGCUGCCUCUGCAUUGUCCUCCCUGGGCAACCCUGGAUCCCUGCAGACUGCAGAGCUGCUGGAAGGCUCGAUGGGAUGGGAUGGUACUUGAAUCAUGCUGUCUCUCUUGCAGCUACAAAAUACUGUUACCACAGACUCAGAAGAGAUGCAGAGGAGAUCAGCCCAGGUCAAGAACUGAAACAUGA